AGAGUUUGAUCCUGGCUCAGGACGAACGCUGGCGGCGUGCCUAAUACAUGCAAGUCGAGCGAAUGAUUGGGAGCUUGCUCCCUGUGAAUUUAGCGGCGGACGGGUGAGUAACACGUGGGCAACCUACCUGUAAGACUGGGAUAACUUCGGGAAACCGGAGCUAAUACCGGAUAAUUUCUUUUCUCGCAUGAGAAAAGAUGGAAAGACGGUUUCGGCUGUCACUUACAGAUGGGCCCGCGGCGCAUUAGCUAGUUGGUGAGGUAACGGCUCACCAAGGCCACGAUGCGUAGCCGACCUGAGAGGGUGAUCGGCCACACUGGGACUGAGACACGGCCCAGACUCCUACGGGAGGCAGCAGUAGGGAAUCUUCCGCAAUGGACGAAAGUCUGACGGAGCAACGCCGCGUGAACGAAGAAGGCCUUCGGGUCGUAAAGUUCUGUUGUUAGGGAAGAACAAGUACCAGAGUAACUGCUGGUACCUUGACGGUACCUAACCAGAAAGCCACGGCUAACUACGUGCCAGCAGCCGCGGUAAUACGUAGGUGGCAAGCGUUGUCCGGAAUUAUUGGGCGUAAAGCGCGCGCAGGUGGUUCCUUAAGUCUGAUGUGAAAGCCCACGGCUCAACCGUGGAGGGUCAUUGGAAACUGGGGAACUUGAGUGCAGAAGAGGAAAGUGGAAUUCCACGUGUAGCGGUGAAAUGCGUAGAGAUGUGGAGGAACACCAGUGGCGAAGGCGACUUUCUGGUCUGUAACUGACACUGAGGCGCGAAAGCGUGGGGAGCGAACAGGAUUAGAUACCCUGGUAGUCCACGCCGUAAACGAUGAGUGCUAAGUGUUAGAGGGUUUCCGCCCUUUAGUGCUGCAGCUAACGCAUUAAGCACUCCGCCUGGGGAGUACGGCCGCAAGGCUGAAACUCAAAGGAAUUGACGG
RNAcentral lists this ribosomal RNA (928 nucleotides) under Bacillus sp. H1BS8_pA. RNAcentral's name for it is "bacterial SSU rRNA". It matches the Rfam family "Bacterial small subunit ribosomal RNA", at positions 8 to 916 of the family's 1533-position model. Lineage: Bacteria; Bacillati; Bacillota; Bacilli; Caryophanales; Bacillaceae. The record is from RNAcentral.